UAAGACGAACCGUGCAAACGUUGUUCGGAAUCACUGGGCUUAAAGGGCGCGUAGGCGGGUUAUCAAGUCCGGGGUGAAAGCCCCCAGCUUAACUGGGGAAGUGCCUUGGAUACUGGUAAUCUUGAGGGAGGUAGGGGCAUGCGGAACUUCCGGUGGAGCGGUGAAAUGCGUAGAUAUCGGAAGGAACGCCGGUGGCGAAAGCGGCGUGCUGGACCUCUUCUGACGCUGAGGCGCGAAAGCCAGGGGAGCAAACGGGAUUAGAUACCCCGGUAGUCCUGGCCCUAAACGAUGGGUACUAGGUUGUGGACUAACAUGGGUUCACAGCCGAAGCAAAAGUGUUAAGUACCCCGCCUGGGGAGUAUGGUCGCAAGGCUG
Molecule: ribosomal RNA, 375 nt
Filed under: uncultured bacterium
Lineage: Bacteria
Description: bacterial SSU rRNA
Rfam family: Bacterial small subunit ribosomal RNA
Source: RNAcentral